AUGGAGGGACAGAAGAGACAGACAGGCAGACAAACAGACAGGCAGACAGACAGAAAGGCUUCUGAUGUCAUACUGUAACAGUCAUCGCCAUGGAACAGAGCGGAUAUAAACCAAGUGUUUCUAUUUUAGAGAGAAUAAGGUGAAUCACCAGCUUGCUUUUAUCAGCGGCACUGUGGCAUCAUCGCCGUCAUCACCGUCAUCAUGCUCAGCAGUCUGACUAGAUGGACAGCAUGCGAACAGAGAUUGUCGUUUAAUUCACGUCUGAACUUUGACUAGGCCGUUCUAACACAUGGGUGGGAUUGGAUCUAAGCCAAGCCACAAACAGCAUCCAACAGCAUGGGUCCUUCACCAUCCCGUUUAUGUCUGGUGGGUUCCAUGUGUUCACCAAGAAAACUGUGAGAGCAUUUGAAAACAGGCGUUAAAGAUCAAAUAGCACCUGCUACAUCUCUUGAUCCACAAGCAUCAACCUAGCCUAAGACGUCAGCGUGACUCUCUGGUC
This is a long non-coding RNA of Fundulus heteroclitus (mummichog), 499 nucleotides long. RefSeq lists it as uncharacterized. Lineage: Eukaryota; Metazoa; Chordata; Actinopteri; Cyprinodontiformes; Fundulidae. The transcript has 4 exons. The record is from RefSeq and is a predicted model, not a curated record.